Non-coding RNA from Ciona savignyi (Pacific transparent sea squirt), 72 nucleotides. NCBI's taxonomy places the organism in Eukaryota, Metazoa, Chordata, Ascidiacea, Phlebobranchia, Cionidae. The record is from Rfam.
GCCUUUUAGCUCAGCCGGUAGAGCGUUGGACUUUUAAUCCAACGGUUAAGGGUUCAAGUCCCUUAUCGGGCU